UAUUACACUGUAUUGGAAUCGCUUCUUUUCUCUUUCUCUGUGAAUUUCUUGAGAGCACAGACUACAUUCUGCUUAACUUUUUAUCCCCAGCUUUCAGCACAGUGCCUGGCUUGUCUGAGGCGCAUGGCCCCGGGAGAGGAGGAGAAUGGGACGGUGGUUCAGAUCUGCUGAUGUAGCUGUGGUCAGUCACUGGGGAGAAUAGGCCUGUGGAUUUCUGCUCCUCUGAGAUGGAUCCAUCACUGACUACUGAACUUGUUUUCUCAUUGGCUCAACUUAAGAAGGUUCUAGAGAAUGUCAAUCAACCUUCAUGUUGUGUCUACGCUCAAUCAUCCCUGAUGACCCUACGCUGACUACAGAUGCAGAAUUCAGCAAAAACCAAUGAAAGCAUUCGGUGAGAAUCAAUGGCUAUAUGGAGCUUACAAUAAACCGUAUUGUGUAUUUUAUUAUUA
Molecule: long non-coding RNA, 449 nt
Organism: Homo sapiens (human)
Lineage: Eukaryota; Metazoa; Chordata; Mammalia; Primates; Hominidae
Source: Ensembl